This 466-nucleotide ribosomal RNA is filed under the name uncultured bacterium. RNAcentral's name for it is "partial 16S ribosomal RNA". It matches the Rfam family "Bacterial small subunit ribosomal RNA", at positions 28 to 507 of the family's 1533-position model. The record is from RNAcentral.
GACGAACGCUGGCGGCGUGCUUAACACAUGCAAGUCGAACGGAAAGGCCCUGCUUUUGUGGGGUGCUCGAGUGGCGAACGGGUGAGUAACACGUGAGUAACCUGCCCUUGACUUUGGGAUAACUUCAGGAAACUGGGGCUAAUACCGGAUAGGAGCUCCUGCUGCAUGGUGGGGGUUGGAAAGUUUCGGCGGUUGGGGAUGGACUCGCGGCUUAUCAGCUUGUUGGUGGGGUAGUGGCUUACCAAGGCUUUGACGGGUAGCCGGCCUGAGAGGGUGACCGGCCACAUUGGGACUGAGAUACGGCAGACUCCUACGGGAGGCAGCAGUGGGGAAUAUUGCACAAUGGGCGGAAGCCUGAAGCAGCAACGCCGCGUGCGGGAUGACGGCCUUCGGGUUGUAAACCGCUUUCGCCUGUGACGAAGCGUGAGUGACGGUAAUGGGUAAAGAAGCACCGGCUAACUACGUG